This 248-nucleotide ribosomal RNA is filed under the name uncultured Eubacterium sp. Its description in RNAcentral is "partial 16S ribosomal RNA". It matches the Rfam family "Bacterial small subunit ribosomal RNA", at positions 524 to 771 of the family's 1533-position model. Lineage: Bacteria; Bacillati; Bacillota; Clostridia; Eubacteriales; Eubacteriaceae. The record is from RNAcentral.
UACGUAGGUGGCAAGCGUUGUCCGGAAUUACUGGGUGUAAAGGGUGCGCAGGCGGGAAUUCAAGUUGGAUGUGAAAUACCGGGGCUUAACUCCGGGGCUGCAUCCAAAACUGAGUUUCUUGAGUGAAGUAGAGGCAAGCGGAAUUCCGAGUGUAGCGGUGAAAUGCGUAGAUAUUCGGAGGAACACCAGUGGCGAAGGCGGCUUGCUGGGCUUUAACUGACGCUGAGGCACGAAAGCAUGGGGAGCAA